Molecule: long non-coding RNA, 364 nt
Organism: Centrocercus urophasianus (Greater sage-grouse)
Lineage: Eukaryota; Metazoa; Chordata; Aves; Galliformes; Phasianidae
Exons: 3
Source: RefSeq, a predicted model, not a curated record
UUUCACCUUAACCUUGUCUUUCAUGUCUCACGUGCAGUAAAUCAUGUUGUUACAAACGGCGUCUUGGGGGCAACCUUGAUUUCUGCAGCCCCGAGCUUUGUGGCACGAGAGCUCUCCGCCAUGCUUCUCCCUGUGAUGUGUGAGCGUAUGGAAGGCCUCGCAGAAGCCUGGUCAUAACCAUGGAACCACAGAAGCGUUACCCAGACAGAAGGAGCCUUUGUCACCUGGACUUCCUACCAAGGACACAGGCAGUGGAAGUCAGCAUCCCAAGCAUCCAUGAAACCCCUGCACAGGACUGGAAGAAAAGCUUGAUGUCUGUGCCAAGGGAGAUGUACACCGCACUUGCGCUGCCUGGAUGAUGUGG